GGACGACGCGUGGCGGCGUGCUACACAGCAAGUCGAACGGUAGACGGAGGAGCUUGCUCCUCUGAUCAGUGGCGAACGGGUGAGUAACACGUGAGCAACCUGCCCCACGACCUGGAUAACAGUUGGAAACAGCUGCUAAUACCGGAUACGAGACGGAGAGGCAUCUCUACCGUCUGGAAAGUUUUUCGGUCUGGGAUGGACUCGCGGCCUAUCAGCUAGUUGGUGAGGUAAUGGCUCACCAAGGCGAUGAUAGAUAGGCGGCCUUAACGGGUGGUCGCCCACACUGGGAUUGAGAUACGGCCCAGACUCCUACGGGAGGCAGCAGUCGAGAAUAGUCUACAAUGGCCGGAAGGCUGAUAGUGCGACGCCGCGUGAACGAGGGAGCCCUUCGGGGUGUAAAGUUCUUUUCUAUACGAGCAGUGCUAUAUAUAUGGAUAGUAUAUAUAGAGGGAUAGUAGUAUAGGAAUAAGCAACGGCUAACUCCGUG
This 487-nucleotide ribosomal RNA is filed under the name uncultured bacterium. RNAcentral describes it as "bacterial SSU rRNA". It matches the Rfam family "Bacterial small subunit ribosomal RNA", at positions 37 to 507 of the family's 1533-position model. The record is from RNAcentral.